This 1041-nucleotide ribosomal RNA is filed under the name Triticum aestivum (bread wheat). RNAcentral's name for it is "partial small subunit ribosomal RNA". Lineage: Eukaryota; Viridiplantae; Streptophyta; Magnoliopsida; Poales; Poaceae. The record is from RNAcentral.
AUGGCGGGGUUCUCUCUGAGGGGAGGCGGCGGCGGAGGUGGAGGAGGCAGCGGGGGAAGGAGCGGCGACCGCGGCGAUCAUCCCAUCGGGGCAGACAGCCUGUUUCUGUACGCGCGCGGCGCCGCCGCCGCGGCCGCCGACACGGCGGGCGGCGGCGGCGGGGGAGGAGGUGGGAUAGGGUUCCAGCUAUGGCACCCGCACCACCAGCAGGCGGCGGCCGUGCCGCACACGUCGCAGUUCUUCUCCUCCGGGGUGGCCACCGGCGUCGUGCUGGGCUUCUCGCCGCAUGAGGGCGGUGGCGUGGGCGGCGUCGGCUUGGCUGGUGGAGGCGGCCCGGGGGGCGGGAGGGCCGGCACCAGCUGCCAGGACUGCGGAAACAACGCCAAGAAGGACUGCACCCACCAGCGGUGCCGCACCUGCUGCCGCAGCCGCGGCUUCAACUGCUCCACCCACGUUAAGAGCACCUGGGUCCCCGCCUCCAAGCGGCGCGAGCGCCAGCAGCAGCUCGCCGCGCUCUUCCGCGGCGCGGCAGCCAACAACAGCGCCGCCGCGGCCGCCGCCGCUGCCGUUGCCAACAAACGGCCCCGCGAGCUCGUGCGCUCCCUCGGCCGCUUGCCGUCCGCGACCACCGCGAUGGUCGACGCCACCACCUCCUCAGGCGAGGGGGACGGGAGAUUUCCGCCGGAGCUGAGCCUGGAGGCCGUGUUCCGGUGCGUGCGGAUAGGACCGGUGGACGAGCCGGACGCGGAGUUCGCGUACCAGACGGCGGUGAGCAUCGGGGGGCACACAUUCAAGGGGAUCCUGCGCGACCAUGGGCCGGCGGAAGAGGCGACUGGGCAGCUGCCGCCGUCGUCGGCGGAGUACCACCAGCUCACAGGGGCCGCGAGGGAGGGGUCAUCGCCGGCCGGGAGCAGCGAGGCGGCCGGCGGGCACGGGGCGACGGUGGCGACGUCCGCGGCGGUGCUCAUGGACCCCUACCCGACGCCGAUCGGCGCCUUCGCAGCAGGCACCCAGUUCUUCCCUCAUAACCCUAGAACCUAG